CGGGCUGUAGCUCAGUUGGUAGAGCACAUGGCUGGGGGUCAUGGGGUCGCACGUUCAAGUCGUGUCAGCCCGA
Molecule: transfer RNA, 73 nt
Filed under: Patescibacteria group bacterium
Lineage: Bacteria
Description: tRNA-Pro
Rfam family: tRNA
About the family: Transfer RNA (tRNA) molecules are approximately 80 nucleotides in length. Their secondary structure includes four short double-helical elements and three loops (D, anti-codon, and T loops).
Source: RNAcentral